GAUGAACGCUGGCGGCGUGCCUAAUACAUGCAAGUCGAGCGAACAGAUAAGGAGCUUGCUCCUUUGACGUUAGCGGCGGACGGGUUAGUAACACGUGGGUAACCUAUCUAUAAGACUGGAAUAACUCCGGGAAACCGGGGCUAAUGCCGGAUAACAUGUUGAACCGCAUGGUUCUACAGUGAAAGGCGGCUUUGCUGUCACUUAUAGAUGGACCCGCACCGUAUUAGCUAGUUGGUGAGGUAACGGCUCACCAAGGCAACGAUACGUAGCCGACCUGAGAGGGUGAUCGGCCAAACUGGAACUGAGACACGGUCCAGACACCUACGGGAGGCAGCAGUAGGGAAUCUUCCGAAAUGGGCGAAAGCCUGACGGAGCAACGCCGCGUGAGUGAUGAAGGUCUUCGGAUCGUAAAACUCUGUUAUUAGGGAAGAACAAAUGCGUAAGUAACUGUGCGCGUCUUGACGGUACCUAAUCAGAAAGCCACGGCUAACUACGUG
Molecule: ribosomal RNA, 497 nt
Filed under: uncultured bacterium
Lineage: Bacteria
Description: partial 16S ribosomal RNA
Rfam family: Bacterial small subunit ribosomal RNA
Source: RNAcentral